Molecule: ribosomal RNA, 582 nt
Filed under: uncultured bacterium
Lineage: Bacteria
Description: partial 16S ribosomal RNA
Rfam family: Bacterial small subunit ribosomal RNA
Source: RNAcentral
UGGGGAAUUUUGGACAGUGGGCGCAAGCCUGAUCCAGCAAUGCCGCGUGCAGGAAGAAGGCCUUCGGGUUGUAAACUGCUUUUGUCAGGGAAGAAAUCCUCUGGGUUAAUACCUCGGGGGAUGACGGUACCUGAAGAAUAAGCACCGGCUAACUACGUGCCAGCAGCCGCGGUAAUACGUAGGGUGCGAGCGUUAAUCGGAAUUACUGGGCGUAAAGCGUGCGCAGGCGGUUGUGCAAGACAGGUGUGAAAUCCCCGGGCUUAACCUGGGAACUGCACUUGUGACUGCACGGCUAGAGUACGGUAGAGGGGGGAUGGAAUUCCGCGUGUAGCAGUGAAAUGCGUAGAUAUGCGGAGGAACACCGAUGGCGAAGGCAAUCCCCUGGACCUGUACUGACGCUCAUGCACGAAAGCGUGGGGAGCAAACAGGAUUAGAUACCCUGGUAGUCCACGCCCUAAACGAUGUCAACUGGUUGUUGGACGGCUUGCUGUUCAGUAACGAAGCUAACGCGUGAAGUUGACCGCCUGGGGUAGUACGGCCGCAGUUGAACUCAAAGGAAUUGACGGGGUCAUAGCUGUUUCC